UACGUAGGGGGCCAGCGUUGUCCGGAUUCAUUGGGCGUAAAGCGCGUGUAGGCGGCCAGGUAGGUCCGAUGUGAAAUCUGGAGGCUCAACCUCCAGCGGUCAUUGGAAACCAUCUGGCUAGAGUCCGGAAGAGGAGAGUGGAAUUCCUGGUGUAGCGGUGAAAUGCGUAGAUAUCUGGAGGAACACCGGUGGCGAAGGCGACGUCCUGGACCGGCAUUGACGCUGAGGAUCGAAAGCUAGGGGAGCAAACGGG
Molecule: ribosomal RNA, 253 nt
Filed under: uncultured bacterium
Lineage: Bacteria
Description: partial 16S ribosomal RNA
Rfam family: Bacterial small subunit ribosomal RNA
Source: RNAcentral